Long non-coding RNA from Piliocolobus tephrosceles (Ugandan red Colobus), 1847 nucleotides. RefSeq lists it as uncharacterized. Lineage: Eukaryota; Metazoa; Chordata; Mammalia; Primates; Cercopithecidae. The transcript is spliced from 2 exons. The record is from RefSeq and is a predicted model, not a curated record.
GGAGUUGGAAGCCAGCUCCCAAACAGCCAAGGAACAGAGAAGUCAGCAGCCUCCAGCCACUCCCUCCCGCUGCCCAACCCAGCUCCCCAAAUUCCCCACCAAAAGCCACGCCCCCACCCACCCUCAGACCAGUACUUCAGGAUGAACCUGGAGCUCCCAGGAUAAGGCUGUGCCUCCCCCCGUCAGACCGUCAUUUCAGAGCAAGACUAUGUCUCCCUAAAACCAAGUGUCCUGAGCCUCACCAGUGUACACAGAGCAAGGCCAGUGUCCCAGGCUAGGGCCAUGCCCCUUAGACCAUGGUUCCCAGCCAGAGCUGUACCUCCUCCCUUAGAUCAGAACCCCCAGGGCAAGGCCUGUCUCCCCAUCAGGGGUGACAAGAGAGGACUGGAUCAUCAAAGUGGGUGGCCCAGGAAAGAGAGUCGGAGGAGAGUACAAGGUCCCCAUCCACCGUGGGCUCACCUGGGCCCAGAGGAAUCCGUUCUUCCCAGGUCAGAUGCAAACAGUUCCUUGGUUCGGAGCGGGAGCCUGGGGCUGGACCAUGGGUGAGGGCAGGUGAUUUUGGAGCAGGGUCUCUGGGCAGGGAGGGGCCAGGUUUGCACAGGGCUGAGGCAGCAGUUUAGCCUCUGGUAGGGGCAGCUCUCCCCACUCCCUGCAAUGCUGUGGUGGUCCCCUGUGAAAAUGCGUUGUCCCCCUCCUCCAGGGCUCCAAGGUGCUGUCCCCAAGCAGUCAUCACCCCAGACCUGGGUCUCUGAGGCUCAGUGUGGGUGGAUCUACCUCUGCCACCCAGGGCUCUAGCUUUGUGUCAGACCCACGGGAAUUUCACUCUUGACUCCACCCUGGUACUCCUCCACCUUUCUAACCUCGGUUUUUCUCAUCUGGAAAAUGGGGACAGGGGCACCUAUAGCAGGGGGUUCCAUGGUAUGCCCUUUCCCUUGGCUGGCCACAGGUAACUCUGGGUGACCACAGGGCCAAGGCACAGGAAGCAACGAAACUGAGUCCAGCCCGUCCUUCCAUCCCACGUGCAGCGCCAGGACCUUCAGGAAGUCACUGAGACAGAGCCACAUGGAGGAGCGGGGAGAUAUCUGGCUGGCCUUGGGAGGGUUGGCCUCAGUAGCCUGUGGGGAGGCGAAUUCCAGGCCCCUCUCGGCUUCCUCCUGGGUCCAUUCUCUCACCCAAGCUCUGGCUUGAGCCCCUGUCCAGAGACAGCUAGGGACCCAUGACCAGCCCAGAGGAGUGAGGGGCAAGGGGCAUACAUUCCUCUCUCUUUCUCUGCCUCAUUCUCUGCUCCCCAGACCAGGAGACAAAGGACUGGGUUUAAAUUCCGGCUUUGUCAUUCACCAACUAUAAGGCAUUGGGCAAGGUAUUGAAUCUCUCCAAGCCUCAGUUUCCUUAUCUGUAAAGUGGGAGGGGCCAGGUGCAGUGGCUCAUGCCUGUAAUCCCAGCACUUUGGGAGGCCGAGGCAGGUGGACCACCUGAGGUCCGGAGUUCAAGACCAGCCUGGCCAACAUGGUGAAACCCCAUCUCUACUAAAAAUACAAAAAUUAGCCAGGCAUGGUAGUGGGUGCCUGUAAUCCCAGCUACUCGGGAGGCUGAGGCAGGAGAAUCGCUUGAACGUGGGAGGUGGAGUUUGCGGUGAGCCAUUGCACUCCAACCUGGGUGACAGAGCAAAACUUCAUCUUAAAAAAAAAAAAAAUUAGCUGGUGUGGUGGUGUCCACUUGUAGUCCCAGCUACUCAGGAGGCUGAGGUAGGAGGAUCACUUGAACCCAGGAGGUUGAAGCCGCAGUGAGCCAAGGUCAUGCCACUCUACUUCAACCUGGGUGACGGAGAACCUGUCUCAAAAAUAAAA